AUUGAACGCUGGCGGCAGGCCUAACACAUGCAAGUCGAGCGGAUGAAGGCAGCUUGCUCCUGGAUUCAGCGGCGCACGGGUGUGUAAUGCCUAUGAAUCUGCCUCGUAGUGCGGGAUAACGUCUGGAAACGGGCGCUACUACCGCAUACUUCCUGCGGGUGCAAGUGGGUGAUCUUCGGACCUCACGCUCUCAGAUGAGCCUAGGUCGGAUUAGCUAGUUUGUGGGGUAAAGGCCUACCAAGGCGACGAUCCGUAACUGGUCUGAGAGGAGGAUCAGUCACACGGGAAGUGAGACACGGUCAAGACGACUAAGAGAGGCAGCAGAGGGGAAUAUGAGACAAUGGGCGAGAGCAUGAUACAGUGAGGCGGAGUGUGAGAAGAAGGUGUUCGGAUUGGAAAGAACUUUAAGUUGGGAGGAAGGGCAGUAAGUUAAUACCUAGCGGGAGUGACGGUACCAACAGAAGAAGCACCGGCUAACUUCGUG
Molecule: ribosomal RNA, 484 nt
Filed under: uncultured bacterium
Lineage: Bacteria
Description: partial 16S ribosomal RNA
Rfam family: Bacterial small subunit ribosomal RNA
Source: RNAcentral